This 437-nucleotide ribosomal RNA is filed under the name uncultured bacterium. RNAcentral's name for it is "partial 16S ribosomal RNA". It matches the Rfam family "Bacterial small subunit ribosomal RNA", at positions 341 to 792 of the family's 1533-position model. The record is from RNAcentral.
ACGGAAGGCAGCAGUGGGGAAUAUUGCGCAAUGGGCGCAAGCCUGAUGCAGCAACGCCGCGUGAGGGAAGACGGUCUUCGGAUUGUAAACCUUUGUCUUUGGUGAAGAAGAAAGUGACGGUAGCCAAGGAGGAAGCCACGGCUAACUACGUGCCAGCAGCCGCGGUAAUACGUAGGUGGCAAGCGUUAUCCGGAUUUACUGGGUGUAAAGGGAGCGCAGGCGGGACAGCAAGUUGGAUGUGAAAUACCGAGGCUUAACCACGGAGCUGCAUCCAAAACUGUUGUUCUUGAGUGAAGUAGAGGUAGGCGGAAUUCCGAGUGUAGCGGUGAAAUGCGUAGAUAUUAGGAGGAACACCAGUGGCGAAGGCGGCUUACUGGACUGUAACUGACGUUGAGGCUCGAAAGCGUGGGGAGCAAACAGGAUUAGAUACCCUGGUA